UACGCAGGGUCCGAGGGUUAAUCGGAAUUACUGGGCGUAAAGCGUGCGCAGGCGGUGCUGUAAGACAGGCGUGAAAUCCCCGGGCUCAACCUGGGAAUGGCGCUUGUGACUGCAGUGCUGGAGUGCGGCAGAGGGGGAUGGAAUUCCGCGUGUAGCAGUGAAAUGCGUAGAUAUGCGGAGGAACACCGAUGGCGAAGGCAAUCCCCUGGGCCUGCACUGACGCUCAUGCACGAAAGCGUGGGGAGCAAACAGGGUUAGAUAGCCGCGUAGUCC
This 273-nucleotide ribosomal RNA is filed under the name uncultured bacterium. RNAcentral's name for it is "partial 16S ribosomal RNA". It matches the Rfam family "Bacterial small subunit ribosomal RNA", at positions 524 to 796 of the family's 1533-position model. The record is from RNAcentral.